GUCAACAGAUUUUUUAAUACUCUACAGUUCAGCUGAAAAAGUUGGUGUGGGAUUUGGGUAUCUUUGGUUACAUUAACUCCACCAGACCAGCUGCUACUGUCCCUGUGCAUGCAGAGCAGGAAACACUGAGGUGACAGAAGGGUCACCUCCUUGCCACCAAUCAAGCACCACCCUGCUACUAUCACUCACAGCUGAGAGCUGUCAGGCUCCCUGUGGUUACACUCACUCUUUCAGUUUCUUUUGGCUUUGGAGACCAAAAAUCGGUUUAUUAUUUUCACUUUCAGAUCCCCAAGUGGAAAAACCUCUGAACUGCAUUAAAACAGAGGUAAUGAAGCUACAAGCCAGGUUUUCAGCCAGAUAAGGGAGAAGGAUGACAAGAAGCAGACCCUGAGGAGGUAGGAUGGUGUUUUUAUCAUGGCAAUUGUCCUCCCUUACAACUGGCUCAGUGUAGAACUCCCACCCCUCACCCCUAGAGAAGGUCACAUUCACACCUGAGGGUUUUCAUCCCUUCUGAUGGGCUAAAACAGCCUCAACUUCCCUGAUGUGAGAGGCAGCUGAGAAGAGGUGAUAAACCAUCAAAGACCCCCUGAAGUGUCUCCAGACUCAUUCCUGAGGCCUUCCACCACAGAACUGAAAGCUCCCCCCUGCCAGGUAGCUGGGCAUUCCCACACAGCCUGAGCAUAUUUUAACUCGCUGGACUUUUUGUUUGGGGGCUUUUCCCCCCACACCCAAUGGAUGAAGAUUAUGACCAUCAUUUCAACAAACAGACAUCAAAAUAGCAACAAUAAAAUCUUGUCCCUGGAUCCAUGGGAGAUGUUUGUGUAUUAGGAUUUCACCAUGUACGUGGACUCCCAAAUGCUGUUGAGAUUUGGCUGCUUUGAAGUUGCUCUCAGUUAUGCUACCAAGGUGGUCUGAGGCAUGGAGCACACACCUUCAGGAAGGGAUUCACACCUUGUGGAAGGCAUUCAGACGUGUUGAGUCUGGCCAAAGGGAGGCUGAAGGGCAGCCCAACAGUCGCCUACAGCUACUCAAAAGGUCAAGAACACCAAAGCUGAGCUCUUUGUGGCAGUGUCAGGCGCUGUAACAAAGGGCAGCACCCACAGACUGGUUUGGGAGGUUGCACAGCAGGAUAAAAAUUGCCUCUAGGCAUCUACUACAGCACUGGAACAGGUUGUUGGGAAAUGACAAAUGAUGAAUUGUAGAGGUGACUCAAGGCUCAGCCUCAUGAAAACACAGGUGAAUUAGAGUCCUGCGGCUGAUGGUGCCAAACAGCAUUUCUUUGAUCCUAUGGUAGAUAUAUCUCCCAGCUUCUCCCAUUCCACCCCACCCUGGCCUGCCACACUCAGAUAUUGCCUGGAAAAUUAUGGUAACACAGGCCAAAUUCUCUGGUCCUGAGAGCUGUACUUUUAAGUCUUUCUAUAGCCCAAAGUCAUAAAAAACACACCACAUACCUCAGAGAGACAGGAGGAGGACACACUUCCAGAAUCCUGGGUCAGACUCUUCUGGGGAAAAGACAGCAACUAGAUGAGACCCCAGCCACUCAUCUCUUUCCCUAAGGAGAGACUGAUCUUUUUCAACAGUGUCUGCACCAGUUAGAUUCCUCUGCUAGCCAUCCCCACACUUAAAUAAAUACAAGCUUUGCUACGGCACAUUAGUUAUGCUGAGGGUAAUUAGCAGUUACGUCAACAUGAUUUCCAGUUUGACUGCUGGCUGACUCCACGUGGAAAUGAGGUUGUUGAUUGGACAAGGGUUGUUGAUUGCAAGAGGAAAUUAUGUUAGACCAGGCUUCAGAGGAAGAGCCUUGUUGCUCAUGAGGAAGAGCAGCCCUUGUGCUCAGUGCCUUUGGUCGUCUCUGCUGGGCUUGGCAUCCCCUGGAUGUGGCAGGGAAGGGGGGCCCAGCUGUGUGCAGUGGGCAAU
Long non-coding RNA from Passer domesticus (house sparrow), 1917 nucleotides. RefSeq lists it as uncharacterized. Lineage: Eukaryota; Metazoa; Chordata; Aves; Passeriformes; Passeridae. The transcript has 2 exons. The record is from RefSeq and is a predicted model, not a curated record.